CCACGAAGUAGAGAAGAAGAACCACUCAUAAAAUCAUGUUUUAUCCAUCUGUACUCGUAAUGAUGUCUGUCAUGCCUUAUGUGUGCAGCACUGUUGAACACAGCCAACCAAGCUCACUUUCAGUAAAACCUGGAGAAUCUUUGACCAUUUCCUGUAAAGUAUCAGGUUAUGAUCUCAGUGAUGGCUCCAAGGGACCUUCCUGGAUUAGACAAGCUCAGGGGAAGAUCCUUGAGUUCAUUGGCAUGAUCCAUGCUGGUGGUAGCACAGACUACAAGGAUUCACUGAAAAAUAAGUUCACCAUCUCCAGAGACACAUCUACAAGCACAGUAUAUCUUAAAGGACAAAAUCUGCAACUUGAGGACACGGCUGUGUAUUAUUGUGUUCGGUAUACAGGCACUGUGAUGAAUUCCAGUUUAAAGCUCGUGCAAAAAAACAUGUGCACAAACACUGAACAUGCAUGACUAGUUUUGACGUUGAAUGCCAGGAUACGACCUUAAUCAUUAAACACUCUAAUGAAUCUCUAUAUUUAC
This is a non-coding RNA of Megalobrama amblycephala (Wuchang bream), 530 nucleotides long. The record is from the annotation of a RefSeq genome assembly. Lineage: Eukaryota; Metazoa; Chordata; Actinopteri; Cypriniformes; Xenocyprididae.